GCCUAUUCAGAAAUAGGUAAAACCACAAGGGUAGGGUUAGAGUGCAAAACUUGCAAAGAGAUAAGAUUUUGUAUCUCUUUCUCACGAGCAAGUUCGUGUGGGGAUUUCUCCUGUACUGCACCGCCACGCAUUGGCUUGGCUUGCCGGCCUGGGCUGCGCCUGGGGCGCCGUUGCGCGGGGGAUCCGGCGGCUAGCGCAGAUGGGCGGCCACAGGCGUGGCGCCGCUGGUGGUCGGCAGGGAGUGGUCGGAAGGCCACGGUCGUCGCACCGCCGGGCGGCGGCCGGGGGC
Molecule: long non-coding RNA, 289 nt
Filed under: Hordeum vulgare
Lineage: Eukaryota; Viridiplantae; Streptophyta; Magnoliopsida; Poales; Poaceae
Description: long non-coding RNA (HVUL_LNC011487)
Source: RNAcentral